ACUGCACAACAUCAACAGCCUUCACGCGGCGUGCAGUGAACAACGUACAAUCCGUACGGCUAAUGUUGAG
This 70-nucleotide ribozyme is filed under the name unclassified sequences. Its description in RNAcentral is "HDV ribozyme from F. prausnitzii". It matches the Rfam family "HDV ribozyme from F. prausnitzii". The record is from RNAcentral.